Molecule: ribosomal RNA, 465 nt
Filed under: uncultured bacterium
Lineage: Bacteria
Description: bacterial SSU rRNA
Rfam family: Bacterial small subunit ribosomal RNA
Source: RNAcentral
AGUUUGAUCCUGGCUCAGAACGAACGCUGGCGGCAGGCUUAACACAUGCAAGUCGAACGCCCCGCAAGGGGAGUGGCAGACGGGUGAGUAACGCGUGGGAAUCUACCGUGCCCUGCGGAAUAGCUCCGGGAAACUGGAAUUAAUACCGCAUACGCCCUACGGGGGAAAGAUUUAUCGGGGUAUGAUGAGCCCGCGUUGGAUUAGCUAGUUGGUGGGGUAAAGGCCUACCAAGGCGACGAUCCAUAGCUGGUCUGAGAGGAUGAUCAGCCACAUUGGGACUGAGACACGGCCCAAACUCCUACGGGAGGCAGCAGUGGGGAAUAUUGGACAAUGGGCGCAAGCCUGAUCCAGCCAUGCCGCGUGAGUGAUGAAGGCCUUAGGGUUGUAAAGCUCUUUCACCGGUGAAGAUAAUGACGGUAACCGGAGAAGAGGCCCCGGCUAACUUCGUGCCAGCAGCCGCGGUAA